This 254-nucleotide ribosomal RNA is filed under the name uncultured bacterium. Its description in RNAcentral is "partial 16S ribosomal RNA". It matches the Rfam family "Bacterial small subunit ribosomal RNA", at positions 524 to 776 of the family's 1533-position model. The record is from RNAcentral.
UACGGGGGGAGCAAGCGUUGUUCGGAUUUACUGGGCGUAAAGGGCGCGUAGGCGGUCAGCACAAGUCAGUUGUGAAAUCUCCGGGCUUAACCCGGAAACUGCCAUUGAUACUAUUAGUCUUGAAUACCGUGGAGGUCAGCGGAAUAUGUCAUGUAGCGGUGAAAUGCUUAGAUAUGACAUAGAACACCAAUUGCGAAGGCAGCUGGCUACACGAGCAUUGACACUCAGGCACGAAAGCGUGGGGAUCAAACAGG